CCUACGGGUAGCAGCAGUGAGGAAUAUUGGUCAAUGGACGAGAGUCUGAACCAGCCAAGUAGCGUGAAGGAUGACUGCCCUAUGGGUUGUAAACUUCUUUUAUAUGGGAAUAAAACGUUCCACGUGUGGGAUUUUGUAUGUACCAUAUGAAUAAGGAUCGGCUAACUCCGUGCCAGCAGCCGCGGUAAUACGGAGGAUCCGAGCGUUAUCCGGAUUUAUUGGGUUUAAAGGGAGCGUAGGUGGAUUGUUAAGUCAGUUGUGAAAGUUUGCGGCUCAACCGUAAAAUUGCAGUUGAAACUGGCAGUCUUGAGUACAGUAGAGGUGGGCGGAAUUCGUGGUGUAGCGGUGAAAUGCUUAGAUAUCACGAAGAACUCCGAUUGCGAAGGCAGUUCACUGGACUGCAACUGACACUGAGGCUCGAAAGUGUGGGUAUCAAACAGGAUUAGAUACCCCAGUAGUC
This 460-nucleotide ribosomal RNA is filed under the name uncultured bacterium. Its description in RNAcentral is "partial 16S ribosomal RNA". It matches the Rfam family "Bacterial small subunit ribosomal RNA", at positions 338 to 795 of the family's 1533-position model. The record is from RNAcentral.